AGUGAACGCUGGCGGCAGGCCUAAUACAUGCAAGUCGAACGGCAGCACAGCAGAGCUUGCUCUGUGGGUGGCGAGUGGCGGACGGGUGAGGAAUACAUGGGAAUCUGCCCAGUCGUGGGGGAUAACGUAUGGAAACGUACGCUAAUACCGCAUGCGCCCUACGGGGGAAAGUCGGGGACCGCAAGGCCUGACGCGAUUGGAUGAGCCCAUGUUCGAUUAGCUAGUUGGCGGGGUAAAGGCCCACCAAGGCGACGAUCGAUAGCUGGUCUGAGAGGAUGAUCAGCCACACUGGAACUGAGACACGGUCCAGACUCCUACGGGAGGCAGCAGUAGGGAAUAUUGGACAAUGGGGGCAACCCUGAUCCAGCCAUGCCGCGUGAGUGAAGAAGGCCCUCGGGUUGUAAAGCUCUUUUGUCCGGAAAGAAAAGCAAUCGGUUAAUACCCGGUUGUUCUGACGGUACCGGAAGAAUAAGCACCGGCUAACUCCGUGCC
RNAcentral lists this ribosomal RNA (492 nucleotides) under uncultured bacterium. RNAcentral describes it as "bacterial SSU rRNA". It matches the Rfam family "Bacterial small subunit ribosomal RNA", at positions 29 to 509 of the family's 1533-position model. The record is from RNAcentral.